AGAGUUUGAUCAUGGCUCAGGACGAACGCUGGCGGCGUGCUUAACACAUGCAAGUCACGGGGGCCCGCAAGGGCAACCGGCGAACGGGUGCGUAACACGUGAGCAACCUGCCUUUGUGUGGGGGAUAGCCGGGCUAACGCCCGGGUAAUACCGCAUACGGUCACCGGGAGGAGUCUCCUGGUGAAGAAACCUCCGGGGCACGAAGAGGGGCUCGCGGCCUAUCAGCUAGUUGGCGGGGUAAUGGCCCACCAAGGCGACGACGGGUAGCUGGUCUGAGAGGAUGGCCAGCCACAUUGGGACUGAGAGACGGCCCAGACUCCUACGGGAGGCAGCAGUGGGGAAUCUUGCGCAAUGGCCGAAAGGCUGACGCAGCGACGCCGCGUGUGGGAGGACGCCUUUCGGGGUGUAAACCACUGUUGCCCGGGACGAACAUCCCUUUUCGAGGGGACUGACGGUACCGGGUGAGGAAGCACCGGCUAACUCCGUGCCAGCAGCCGCGGUAAUACGGAGGGUGCGAGCGUUGUCCGGAAUCAUUGGGCGUAAAGGGCGCGUAGGUGGCGGGACAAGCGUGCGGUGAAAGCCUGGGGCUCAACCCCGGGUCGGCCGUGCGAACUGUUUUGCUUGAGCACUGUAGAGGCAGGCGGAAUUCCGGGUGUAGCGGUGGAAUGCGUAGAGAUCCGGAAGAACAUCGGUGGCGAAGGCGGCCUGCUGGGCAGUAGCUGACACUGAGGCGCGACAGCGUGGGGAGCAAACAGGAUUAGAUACUCUGGUAAUCUACGCUCGUAAACGAUGGGCACUAGGCGCUUGGGGGGAGCGAUCUCUCGAGGGUCGGCGCUAACGCAUUAAGUGCUCCGCCUGGGGGAGUACGGGCGCAAGGCUAAAACUCAAAGGAAUUG
Molecule: ribosomal RNA, 896 nt
Filed under: uncultured bacterium
Lineage: Bacteria
Description: bacterial SSU rRNA
Rfam family: Bacterial small subunit ribosomal RNA
Source: RNAcentral